Long non-coding RNA from Aethina tumida (small hive beetle), 381 nucleotides. RefSeq lists it as uncharacterized. The record is from RefSeq and is a predicted model, not a curated record. Lineage: Eukaryota; Metazoa; Arthropoda; Insecta; Coleoptera; Nitidulidae. The transcript has 3 exons.
AGCGGAAUUGACAAAUGUAUGUCAAUAUUGACGAAGUUGAAAUUUUAAUUGAAACAAAUGACAGUUUAAAUUUGAUGUUUAGUAGAAAUGUCUGAUAGAGAAUCUGUGUGCACGUUAACUGGAGGAGACGAUGACAUUCCCAGAAAUGGGGGAGACUUUUUUGAUAACCACGUCUCCGGUAAUAUUAUAGACAACAGUUUCAGGAACAAAUGUCUUGCUUUGUUGAUGGAAAGAGGGCCUGACACGAAGAGCAAAUUGAUCUCGCUCCGGAAUGGCAUUUUAGAUUUUUUGAUCGUCACUCCAAUUUGCAUGUUACUCUGGGGCAUUGGAUAUGCUAUUAAAAAAAAUGUUUAUUGAUAUACUUUCAUGUAGAAUAAAAUU